RNAcentral lists this small RNA (706 nucleotides) under Pongo abelii (Sumatran orangutan). Its description in RNAcentral is "retained intron". Lineage: Eukaryota; Metazoa; Chordata; Mammalia; Primates; Hominidae. The record is from RNAcentral.
GAAUGAAGUGUGCCUAGGUACAGUCCUCUGACAGUCCUAAGGGUGGAGCCAUUUAGCUUAGCCCUGGAAAAACGAUUCCAAAGACUCAUGCUGCUACCAGGACCACAGGUGCUAGCAAAUGCUCUCAGUCCUUCCUGUCAUCAUAAGAUGGAAAGUGCCUUGAUGAACAGGUACUCGGGAAGGAUGGGAAUUCAGAGGACACUAUUUUCUAAGGUGGUGGCUAUCAAAGCCUAUACUGUGGCACAUUUUAGAUUCUUUAGUCUGGGCUGACCUGCCUUCGGUGACAGUGGGAUAUAUGAUUAUUCCUGCCUGGGUGCAGGGCUGAGCCUCCUGUUUUCGUAGACAGUCAUGUUCACGGCCACCAUGCCCCCAGCGGUGGAGCGUCUGGCCAGGAGUUAUCUUCGGCGACCUGCUGUGGUGUACAUUGGCUCUGCAGGCAAGCCCCAUGAGCGUGUGGAACAGAAGGUCUUUCUCAUGUCAGAGUCAGAAAAGAGGAAGAAGCUGCUGGCAAUCUUGGAGCAAGGCUUUGACCCACCCAUCAUUAUUUUUGUCAACCAGAAGAAGGGCUGCGACGUGUUGGCCAAAUCCCUGGAGAAGAUGGGGUACAAUGCUUGCACACUGCACGGUGGAAAAGGCCAGGAGCAGCGAGAGUUUGCAUUGUCCAACCUCAAGGCUGGGGCCAAGGAUAUUUUGGUGGCUACAGAUG